Long non-coding RNA from Equus caballus (horse), 2091 nucleotides. The record is from Ensembl. Lineage: Eukaryota; Metazoa; Chordata; Mammalia; Perissodactyla; Equidae.
CCUACCACAGCAUGGCGUGCCAAGCGGUGCCAUGUCCGCACCUGGGAUCCGAACCGGCGAACCCCGGGCCACCAAAGCAGAAUGUGCGCACUUAAUCCCUACGCCACCGGGGCGGCCCCAGUUUGAAUUUAAUUUUAAAUGGAGUGGGCAGUAAACAAAGGGCUUUAAACUGAGGCUGAAGCGCUCUGACUUCCUGUCAGCCAGGUGGAGAAGGAGUUGUACUGAAGGACUUUUGGAAAACAACUUCCAUUCACAGAUAUCUUGUGUCCCACCUGAGCACGUUCUUUGAAUUGCCUGAACUUAUCUCUACAAGAGAACUCAGACCCAAGGACCCAGAAAUAAAUGAAGUCAGACCAGGGAAGAAAGAGAUGCAGUAAAACAAGAAAGAAUUUGAGUCAAUCAGGACAGGAGCGUGGACGGCCACACUUUCACCGCUGCAGCAUGCUGGCUUUUGGCUUUGGGGUAAACCAGAAGAAAGGACCGUCACCUCCUCAGCAGGGGUAGCUCCCCCGGAAAGCUAGAAUCGAGAAGGCUGCAAAGCCGCUGCCAGCUUUGAUGCUGUUCUUUCUCCAGAGAUGGGAGCCUUCUGGACUCACGUCCUCAGUAAAAGAGGAAGAAAUAGGGAGAUGAGGACCAAGGCUGAGCCUGCAGCCUUUGAUGGGCCAGAAGAGGAUUGAAAGCCAGACGAGGAAACCUCUGUCUCCAGCCUCCACCUGGCUCCGAUGGCUGGGACCAGGCAGCCACUUCACUGCAUUAAUCCACCCCAUGAAACUGGAGCUCGUGUGUGCUGGUUAUGAAGCUACUCUGCCCUCCAUCCCCUCCGCCUUCCUCAAACACACAGGCACGCAAACACACAAAGGCCUCGGCUAGAGAGGGAAAGGCUAAGGGGGAGAAGGGGCGGGGGAAAGGAUUAGAGUUUUAUCAAAAUAGCAUCUGCAGAGAGCCUUCCAGGAUAGGCACCAUUUCCGAGCACGUCUGUGGCCUGGGGCCAGGCCUGGGGCAGAUGGGAAAACACCAGCUGGCCAGGGAAGGAGUGGUCCCUCGAGGGUGGAGGCUCCACCAGGUGCACGGGGGUGGGAGGGACUCUCUUCCUCCCUUCCCAGGGCCUCCUGCCCCACCAACUCUUUCUGAACUUUUUUUUUUUGCCUUUUUGGCCAGACUGUUCCUUUUCAAGCAUCAGAUAGCAAGAACUCCUUUAGCCAGGAUAUUAAUAUUGCUGGGACUCUGGAAUUUCACAUGGGGUUCACCUGUGUCUGGGAGCGGCUGAAGGCCCUCCUGGCGCAGCAAGCCUGUAGGUCUGGGGCCAGAACCGUGUGCUUUGGGGAGCUGUACUCCUUGGAAGGUGUCUUAUCCCGUCCUCUGCCUUCACCCCGGGCUUGCUCUAAAUCAAUGCAGAUAAGACAAUAAGAAGAGAAUAUUUUAUUCCUCAAGCUCACAAGUGUUCCUGGCUCUCAACACUGGCAGCAAAGUUCUGUCUAGAGUUCACCCACAUCUUCUGGCUGCACUGAGAUCCUCUCCCCCACUCCUUUUAUCGGUCCUUGUUCUCACAGAUGUUUUUCUGUUUCCUUCCUGCUUCUCAAGUCUCCUUAUCAGGAAAGGGGAGAAAAAUCAGAGUGGCUCACUUAGCCGCCUAUCUUGAGGCGUAGAAGGACUUUCCUAAACAUGGGAAGACAUCAAGGGAAGAAAUCCACAAGGAAGACAUUAAUGGAUGUGAUUCUGUAAACACUGAAGACUUGCGUGUCUCAAAAUACCAUAAAAACACAUACACAGGAAAUAUUUGAUUAGCCCUGAGCUGACUACUGCCAAUCCUCCUCUUUUUGCUGAGGAAGACUAGCCCUGAGCUAACAUCUGUGCCCAUCUUCCUCUACUUUAUAUGUGGGAUGCCUACCACAGCAUGGCUUUUGCCAAGCAGUGCCAUGUCCGCACCUGGGAUCCGAACUGGUGAACCCUGGGCCACCGAGAAGCGGAAACUGCCAACUUAACAGCUGCGCCACCCGGCCAGCCCCCAAAGUGCUUUUUAACUUUUGGAUUUAACAUCAACUCUGACAUGAAAAGUGUAUAGUUGUUACCAUAUAUAAAUAAAAAUGCUUG